AACGCUGGCGGGAGGCCUAACACAUGCAAGUCGAACGGUAACAGGAAGCAGCUUGCUGCUUUGCUGACGAGUGGCGGACGGGUGAGUAAUGUCUGGGAAACUGCCUGAUGGAGGGGGAUAACUACUGGAAACGGUAGCUAAUACCGCAUAACGUCGCAAGACCAAAGUGGGGGACCUUCGGGCCUCAUGCCAUCAGAUGUGCCCAGAUGGGAUUAGCUAGUAGGUGGGGUAACGGCUCACCUAGGCGACGAUCCCUAGCUGGUCUGAGAGGAUGACCAGCCACACUGGAACUGAGACACGGUCCAGACUCCUACGGGAGGCAGCAGUGGGGAAUAUUGCACAAUGGGCGCAAGCCUGAUGCAGCCAUGCCGCGUGUAUGAAGAAGGCCUUCGGGUUGUAAAGUACUUUCAGCGAGGAGGAAGGGGUUAAGGUUAAUAACCUUGGCCAUUGACGUUACUCGCAGAAGAAGCACCGGCUAACUCCGUGCCAGCAGCCGCGGUAAUACGGAGGGUGCAAGCGUUAAUCGGAAUUACUGGGCGUAAAGCGCACGCAGGCGGUCUGUCAAGUCGGAUGUGAAAUCCCCGGGCUCAACCUGGGAACUGCAUCCGAAACUGGCAGGCUUGAGUCUCGUAGAGGGGGGUAGAAUUCCAGGUGUAGCGGUGAAAUGCGUAGAGAUCUGGAGGAAUACCGGUGGCGAAGGCGGCCCCCUGGACGAAAACUGACGCUCAGGUGCGAAAGCGUGGGGAGCAAACAGGAUUAGAUACCCUGUAGUCCACGCCGUAAACGAUGUCGACUUGGAGGUUGUGCCCUUGAGGCGUGGCUUCCGGAGCUAACGCGUUAAUUCGACCGCCUGGGGAGUACGGCCGCAAGGUUAAAACUCAAAUGAAUUGACGGGGGCCCGCACAAGCGGUGGAGCAUGUGGUUUAAUUCGAUGCAACGCGAAGAACUUACCUGGUCUUGACAUCCAGAGAAUCCUGCAGAGAUGCGGGAGUGCCUUCGGGAACUUAAAACAGGUGCGGCGUGGCUGUCGUCAGCUCGUGUUGUGAAAUGUUGGGUUAAGUCCCGCAACGAGCGCAACCCUUAUCCUUUGUUGCCAGCACAUCAGGGUGGAA
RNAcentral lists this ribosomal RNA (1112 nucleotides) under Cronobacter muytjensii. RNAcentral's name for it is "bacterial SSU rRNA". It matches the Rfam family "Bacterial small subunit ribosomal RNA", at positions 32 to 1136 of the family's 1533-position model. Lineage: Bacteria; Pseudomonadati; Pseudomonadota; Gammaproteobacteria; Enterobacterales; Enterobacteriaceae. The record is from RNAcentral.